RNAcentral lists this transfer RNA (71 nucleotides) under Siphoviridae sp. ctv0N24. RNAcentral's name for it is "tRNA-Arg". It matches the Rfam family "tRNA". Rfam says of the family: Transfer RNA (tRNA) molecules are approximately 80 nucleotides in length. Their secondary structure includes four short double-helical elements and three loops (D, anti-codon, and T loops). RNAcentral also lists the same sequence under 1 other name. The record is from RNAcentral. Lineage: Duplodnaviria; Heunggongvirae; Uroviricota; Caudoviricetes.
AGCAGGAUAGAGAAGUGGUUUCUUCCUGGUUCCCUUAUCCAGAGGCGGUGGUUCAAUUCCGCCUUCGGCAA